AUGAAGGUCCGGGCGCAACUAAAAAAAAAAGAAGAAAUCGAGUUAGAAAUUGCGGGAGAUACGCAGAAAUUGGAUGAAUUGUUUCAGACUGAUAAUAAUCUUUAUUUGCCAGGAAGAGAAGACGUAAAAAAACAUGUAUGCAAUUUUGAAGAAAUUAUUAAUAAUGAACCAAAUUGCUUUCAAGUUUUCAGGGCAAGGAAAAAAAUAAGCUCUCUUUUAGUGAACUCACAAUUAACAAGGGUACAUUAUGUACCACACGGAAACGUCACAAAAACGCCAUAACUACUGAAAUUUAAAAAAUGGUAGGACCUUAUGUAGCGCAGACAAAAGCAAGAAUGAAUUCUCAUCAAAAAAAAACAUGAGGUAUGAUUUUUUUUAUUUUAAUUAAUUAUAUCGCUUUUCAAUGAAUUGGUUAUAGAGCAAAUAAUUAUUAAGUAAAUAUUUCUGUAUAACGAUUGAAAUGUAGCAGAACAUUGUUAUUUCCAUUGACAAUGUAUUUUUAUUUCAUUGUAAGUUGGCAGU
Molecule: long non-coding RNA, 522 nt
Organism: Zophobas morio
Lineage: Eukaryota; Metazoa; Arthropoda; Insecta; Coleoptera; Tenebrionidae
Exons: 3
Source: RefSeq, a predicted model, not a curated record